GCCAAGGCUAGAGUCACACCUUGGCACUUGGUCUUGUAGCCAUGGUGUGCUACAGCUUCUUGGAUAGUGACAUCUGAGCUUAUUCACUGACUGAAUUUUUGUGGUGCAGCCAGUCACCAGCUCAGAUACAUUU
Molecule: small nucleolar RNA, 133 nt
Organism: Protopterus annectens (West African lungfish)
Lineage: Eukaryota; Metazoa; Chordata; Ceratodontiformes; Protopteridae
Product: small nucleolar RNA SNORA3/SNORA45 family
Exons: 1
Source: RefSeq, a predicted model, not a curated record